This 1217-nucleotide ribosomal RNA is filed under the name uncultured Rhizaria. RNAcentral describes it as "SSU rRNA". It matches the Rfam family "Eukaryotic small subunit ribosomal RNA", at positions 577 to 1805 of the family's 1831-position model. The record is from RNAcentral.
CGGUAAUUCCAGCUCCAAUAGCGUAUACUAAAGUUGUUGCAGUUAAAAAGCUCGUAGUUGGAUUUCUGCGGGGACGGAGCGGCCGGACGCAACUUGCGUCUCGAGCUAGCGCUUUCCCCGCAUCCUGCCGCGAACCGUGCUACCAUUAGUUUGGUGGCGCUGGGGAUCGGCUCGAUUACUUUGAGAAAAAUAGAGUGUUCAAAGCAGGCCACACGCCUUGAAUAAGUUAGCAUGGAAUAAUGACUAAGGACUUUGGUUCUUUUCGUUGGUGUUCGGGACUGAAGUAAUGAUUGAUAGGGACAGUUGGGGCGGUCCGUAUUCCAAAGCGAGAGGUGAAAUUCUUAGACCUUCGGAAGACGAACAGCUGCGAAAGCGUUCCGCAAGGAUGUUCCCUUUGAUCAAGAACGAAAGUUGGGGGAUCGAAGACGAUCAGAUACCGUCGUAGUCUCAACUAUAAACUAUACCAGCUAGGGAUCGGCCAACGUUUAAUUAUUCGACUUGGUCGGCACCUUAUGAGAAAUCAAAGCAUCUGGGUUCCGGGGGGAGUAUGGUCGCAAGGCUGAAACUUAAAGGAAUUGACGGAAGGGCACCACCAGGCGUGGAGCCUGUGGCUUAAUUUGACUCAACACGGGAAAACUUACCAGGUCCAGACAUAGGAAGGAUUGACAGAUUGAUAGCUCUUUCUUGAUUCUGUGGGUGGUGGUGCAUGGCCGUUUUUAGUCGGUGAAGUGAUUUGUCUGCUUAAUUGCGUUAACGGACGAGACCCCAGCCUGCUAAAUAGCGCGGCCGAGCUUUGCUCGGUACGAGCUUCUUAGAGGGACCAUGAUGCGCGAUAGCACAAGGAGGUUUGGGGCAACAACAGGUCUGUGAUGCCCUUAGAUGUUCUGGGCCGCACACGGGCUACACUGGCGCCUGCAACGAGCAUAUCAGCUGGCCCGAGAGGGUCUUGGCUAAUCUUUGGAACCGGCGCCGUGCUUGGGAUUGACCAUUGCAAUUGUUGGUCAUGCAACGAGGAAUGCCUUGUAAACGCGAGUCAUCAGCUCGCAUUGAAUACGUCCCUGCCCUUUGUACACACCGCCCGUCGCUCCUACCGAUGAAUGUUCCGAUGAAAUUUUCGGAGAGCGCCGGAGAACGGGGCUCUGCCCUGCAGAACUGGAGGCUCAAAGUCACUUAAAUCUGAACAUUUCGAGGAAGGAGAAGUCGUAACAAGGUAGCCG